AGAUAAAUUGUGUAUUUAUGUAAUUUUUAGUAAAAAUAUUACAAAAAUCAUAAUCAACAAAAGGCCCAAACCCGAUCCAAUAUCCUGAUUUGGGACUAUAAAAAAGUACCCUAAAUUAGGGUUUUCUAAUUGCUCCUCUUGUUCUUUAUCCAUCCGUCUUUUCCGCCGUCGAGGAUGUCUGUGUUGGUCCUUUGCAACCGUCAUCUCCGAGGAGAUCGAGUUGCUGUGAAGGGAAGCUCCAUCUGCCCUUCAUUUUUGUGAAGUUUUUGAUAGCUAGAGAGUCUAGCUUGUGUUAGCACAGUAGAGUAGUUGAUGUUGUUCAAACACUUCUUGUACCCCUGGGUAUAUCCCGUGGGCUUGUAAUAUUUAGGACCCCCUGCUCUUCCUUGCUUACUCUGUGACUGCUUUAUGCUCUCAUGCUUGUUAAUAUUAUGCAUGUGAAUUGAUCUUCCUUGUUCUGAUUCUCAAAUUAGGGAUUUGUGUUUUGUCUAUGUUUACAAACUUUCUUAUUUUUGCUGGUAGCUCUUAGAAACUAUGAUAGUCUCUAACAAUUUCUGCAUCAAUCACUUCAUCAGCUGAAGCGUCUGCAACUGUAUUUCCUUCUCUGAAUGUAUGUUGUGGUUGUGCUUGAAUGGUAGUAACCCUCUCUCUUAUGUCUUCAGUUUAUUCCGCUAGUUCCCAAGGUACUUUACACUGUUUAUUUAUCAUUCUCAUCAGAACCAGGGAAUCAAUUUCAAUUAUUACCUUCCCGAUUGCCUUCUCUUGUAUGUAAUGUAAGAUUCUUUAAUUGCUUUCAUUUUUGCCUGAGUAUUAGUUGUGACUCCCAAUCCUUUAGCCUUUACAUAAAUCAGAUCUCCUUUUAUCAUCCCCAACACAAAAGGCACAGGCACUUAUUCUUGGGUUGCCUUUACUUGCUCUAUCAGUGUUACAUUUAAGAAUAUUCUUCUCAGGAAGCCUCAAAACUACAUUAUAAUAAUGUAACUUUGGCUUGUAAUUUCACAAAAUGUGCACCACUUGUGGGUACAUCUUCUUUACUUGCUUUCUUUUCAUUUCCUGACUCUGCCACACCAAUUCUCCAUAUUUGAUAUCUCCACCAUGUUUAAUUGCAUUCCUUCUCCUCCACAUAUUCCACAUAAUGAUUGUUGGAAUUACUUUAAAUAUGACUUCAGUUUUGGUGAUGCUUUCAUUGUCUACCAAGCCAUGAUAAUCUCCUAUAAAUUCAUGUGUUCUAUGUCAAUACCUACAAAAAUAGCAAACUCCCUCCAUAAAUUUGCAGCUAUGGGGGGCUGUUAGAAAUAAAUAGUUCAUAAUCUCUUCCUUCUUUACAUCACAACACCAACAUCUGGAUACAACAUUUAUCCACAUUAUUUUUAGAUUGUCAUCAGUUGCAAUCCUCCUUCUCCAAGCCCUCCAUAAAAAAAAAUUAAUUUUGAAAGGCAACCCUUUCGCCCAUAUCUUGUAUUCCUCUCUUUUCUCCUUUUUCUGCCUCAAUAGUUCCCAUGCUGACUUGACUGUGAAAUUGCCCUGAGUAUUACCCAUCCACCAUGGUACACCAUCUUUUUCACACCUUUGUGGCUGUAUAUUCUCAAUAAUAUAAUUAGCCAUCUCUUCUAAUAGUACACUUUAUAAUUUCAUGUCAUCCCAUUCUAUAUUAAUACAGAAAUCCUUUACCUCUAAUUCCUCCUCUUUGUAAUACCUCAUACUUUUCUUAGUUCAGUUCAGUUCCUAGUGCAUGCAUAAAGCCUAAAAAUUUAAUCAAGUAUUGGAAACUUAGUCAUUUUUUGGGGCCUUUUAACUCGAGAAUUUUUAAAGUGGCCUUUCUGACCUAGAGAUGUUGGUUUUUGAGUUAAUUCAUGUUUAGGGGUGUAAGGCGCAUAUCUCGAGGAAGUUUUGGAUUUUUCGGAUGAGGAUUGGGUCUUGGUUGGAUUUCGAUUCCAGAACCUCACCGCAAUAGUGGCGCGUCGCGGUAAUAGCGAUGAGCCCUUCACGCAUCGCGGUGUUCCAUUAAUCAGCAUUCCAAUUAUGAAUUUAAAUGUUUGAGGGGCAGUUAAGUCUUUUCCCAUUGGCUCAAUUCUUAAAAACAUGAAUUUAAGCUUCAAUUAGGGCAUUGUUCACCAAUUUCCUCUAAAAAACAAACCCUAAUCAUUCCCCCAAGUUUAGCAAUUCCAUUCCUUUCUCUCCAAGAAAAUCAAGAACUCAAGUUUUCCAAUUCAAGAACUUUCAAGAAAGCUUUCAAGAUUGUGUUUCCCUUUCAAGCUUAAGGGCUUCAGACCAUGCCUCCCAGAAGGAAUAACGGAAGGAGGAAUGAGAAUCAGCUCACACCUUUGCUUAUUCAGGAAGAUCCCUUGAAUGUGUUUGGACGCUCAGUUUCCCGACCGCGCUUAGAUAGUUCAGCUAGUCAGCAGCAGCAGCAGUGGUGAGUCCUCAUAUAAUGAGGACCUGUUAUGUUUCUUUUAGUAUUUCCGCAUUUCAUUUCAGUUAGACAGUUGGAGUUAGUUAGGGCCUGUCCCAUCAAUUCUUUUCAAUUAGUUUAGAGG
Molecule: long non-coding RNA, 2537 nt
Organism: Capsicum annuum
Lineage: Eukaryota; Viridiplantae; Streptophyta; Magnoliopsida; Solanales; Solanaceae
Exons: 3
Source: RefSeq, a predicted model, not a curated record